GCCGCUAGAGACAAUUUUGAAAAACAGCGAAAAUUGAUAAGAGGGGAGGCGAAAUUUAACCUUCUGGGUCCAAAAACACAGAUCUAAGAAAUGUCAAUUCCAUUAAAAAACUUGCUUCGAAACUCCAUUGAAACUAUCUUGAACAACGAUGAAGAUCAGCCAAAUCCAGCUGUAAAAAAGCUGAAAUUGGCAGCAAAAUUAGACCAAAAACGAGCUGAAAAAGGCGGACUAAAAUCCAGCCCCAAAACCACCCCGAAGCAGCUGUUAUUCCACUAGUUCAUCACUACUGCUUCAGUUGUCCAAACGCCAGCAAAAUACCACACAAAAGAGUCUCAAAUCAGCGUGUAAACUUGCUGAAAGUAACCCCAAAUAAUACCAUCAAAUUAGCUAAAAAAGCACACCUAAGUCCACCUAAAAUAUAGCUAUAAAUCACUCUGUCAAACCUCCUCGAAGAUUGCCGAAUUCAUCCUUUAAUAUGCAUAGAGAUCCCCAAAAUCGGAGUUCUAGUUAAAGGUACCGACGAGCUAAGUCGAGAUUCGAGGUUCCGGUGAGAGAUUCAAUCCGAGUUCCGAUUGUUGACUCAUGUAUCGACUCUUGUAUUCCAAUGUUAUCAAUGCUAAAGAUCUCAAUUUGAGGUUCUUUCCUUAACUUCCAG
RNAcentral lists this long non-coding RNA (655 nucleotides) under Nicotiana benthamiana. Its description in RNAcentral is "long non-coding RNA (NBEN_LNC024424)". Lineage: Eukaryota; Viridiplantae; Streptophyta; Magnoliopsida; Solanales; Solanaceae. The record is from RNAcentral.